This 700-nucleotide ribosomal RNA is filed under the name uncultured bacterium. Its description in RNAcentral is "bacterial SSU rRNA". It matches the Rfam family "Bacterial small subunit ribosomal RNA", at positions 85 to 819 of the family's 1533-position model. The record is from RNAcentral.
UUCGGGGUUAGUGGCGGACGGGUGAGUAACACGUGGGAAUGUGCCCUUAGGUUCGGAACAACACAGGGGAAACUUGUGCUAAUACCGGAUGUGCCCUUCGGGGGGAAGAUUUAUUGCCUUUGGAGCAGCCCGCGUCUGAUUAGCUUGUUGGUGAGGUAAAGGCUCACCAAGGCUACGAUCAGUAGCUGGUCUGAGAGGAUGGCCAGCCACAUUGGGACUGAGACACGGCCCAAACUCCUACGGGAGGCAGCAGUGGGGAAUCUUGCGCAAUGGGCGAAAGCCUGACGCAGCCAUGCCGCGUGGAUGAUGAAGGUCUUAGGAUUGUAAAAUCCUUUCACCGGGGACGAUAAUGACGGUACCCGGAGAAGAAGCCCCGGCUAACUUCGUGCCAGCAGCCGCGGUAAUACGAAGGGGGCUAGCGUUGCUCGGAAUUACUGGGCGUAAAGGGAGCGUAGGCGGAUCGUUAAGUUGGGGGUGAAAGCCCGGGGCUCAACCUCGGAAUUGCCUUCAAUACUGGCGAUCUUGAGUAUGGGAGAGGUGUGUGGAACUCCGAGUGUAGAGGUGAAAUUCGUAGAUAUUCGGAAGAACACCAGUGGCGAAGGCGACACACUGGCCCAUUACUGACGCUGAGGCUCGAAAGCGUGGGGAGCAAACAGGAUUAGAUACCCUGGUAGUCCACGCCGUAAACGAUGAGUGCUAG